Molecule: long non-coding RNA, 610 nt
Organism: Cyprinus carpio (common carp)
Lineage: Eukaryota; Metazoa; Chordata; Actinopteri; Cypriniformes; Cyprinidae
Exons: 3
Source: RefSeq, a predicted model, not a curated record
UGUUGUUGUUGUUGUUGUUGUUCUUCUUCUUCUUCUGCUCGUUGCUGCUGUGGUUUUCUACAAGCGCAAAGCAAUAAUGAAAUGCAUCAGGAGGCAGCGCGAGAGGCAGGAGCGCCGUGAUCCGACAGAUGAUGCUCAAGACACAUCCCGUGAACAGACUGAAACUCUAAUGCAGAUGACUCCUAAAGGGACAUCUCAUAAAUAAGACUGAGGCUGCUGAUGAGACACAACUGUAACAUAAUUUAUUUUAUUGAAAGGGAAAUUUAAGAGAAGAUGGGAAAUUAGAGAAAAGCAUCAGCAGAAAUUCUCAUUGUUCACAGAAACAAUAUCAAGGUUUCAGUGUAAUAUCAUUAAUAGUGAUUUCACUUUAGCAUCUUGACAACACUAUUUACACACUACUUAAACAACACUACAACAUUACUUCAAACUGAUGUUUUCAGAGGGAUCACUGAGAAAUGAAACAUUUCUCUGAAACUUUGUGUUUUUGUGAUUUAGCUAGCAAAGCUUUGUGGUUCAAGAAAGGCAGAAGGUUCAGAUUCUGCAAGGGUUGAUCCAUGAAAUCUCACAAUUAUAUGCAUGAUCAAGACUCUGAAACUCAGGAACUGAAACA